UACGUAGGGGGGCUAGCGUUGUCCGGAUUUAUUGGGCGUAAAGAGCGUGUAGGCGGCCAGGUAGGUCUGCUGUGAAAACUCGAGGCUCAACCUCGAGACGUCGGCGGAAACCAUCUGGCUAGAGUCCGGAAGAGGAGAGUGGAAUUCCUGGUGUAGCGGUGAAAUGCGCAGAUAUCAGGAAGAACACCCGUGGCGAAGGCGGCUCUCUGGGACGGUACUGACGCUGAGACGCGAAAGCGUGGGGAGCGAACGGG
Molecule: ribosomal RNA, 254 nt
Filed under: uncultured bacterium
Lineage: Bacteria
Description: partial 16S ribosomal RNA
Rfam family: Bacterial small subunit ribosomal RNA
Source: RNAcentral